UGGGGAAUAUUGGACAAUGGGGGCAACCCUGAUCCAGCGACGCCGCGUGUGUGAAGAAGGCCUGCGGGUUGUAAAGCACUUUUAGUGGGGAUGAAAAGCACAUUGCUAAUACCAGUGUGUCUUGACCUAACCCAAAGAAAAAGCACCGGCUAACUACGUGCCAGCAGCCGCGGUAAUACGUAGGGUGCGAGCGUUAAUCGGAAUUACUGGGCGUAAAGCGUGCGCAGGCGGUUUUGUAAGCCAGAUGUGAAAGCCCCGGGCUUAACCUGGGAAUGGCAUUUGGGACUGCAAGGCUUGAGUGCGGCAGAGGAGACUGGAAUUCCUGGUGUAGCAGUGAAAUGCGUAGAUAUCAGGAGGAAUACCGAUGGCGAAGGCAGGUCUCUGGGCUGACACUGACGCUCAUGCACGAAAGCGUGGGGAGCAAA
RNAcentral lists this ribosomal RNA (425 nucleotides) under uncultured bacterium. RNAcentral describes it as "bacterial SSU rRNA". It matches the Rfam family "Bacterial small subunit ribosomal RNA", at positions 355 to 772 of the family's 1533-position model. The record is from RNAcentral.